Molecule: long non-coding RNA, 437 nt
Organism: Dermacentor silvarum
Lineage: Eukaryota; Metazoa; Arthropoda; Arachnida; Ixodida; Ixodidae
Exons: 3
Source: RefSeq, a predicted model, not a curated record
UUCAGAAUAAGUGGCGCACAUAGUGUUUAGGAAACAGGCCAACAAUUGUAUGCCAUGUAUGCAUAAGUUAUUUGGCCAGUCUCUCUGACAAAUAGUUUUGACCUGUUGCUGUUAGCAUCGCUCAAAUUUUACUACUCUCCUCGAGCCUCUCUUUGCAAAUGAAGAAUAAGUCCCACUUUUCGGCGGUUUUCUAUCACUGGAUGGUUGCGGUUCUUCUCUUGCCUCAAAGACAAAUUCGCACCGGUGGAGUAGGCGCUCAAGGGAAAUGUAUUACAUCAAGUGCCACUGAAAAUAUUUCACGGAGCGCAACUGCUUCAGGUCCGACAAAAGGAACAGUCAAGGUAGGUGCCGUUGUCAGUGCGGAAUAUGCUUCUUCAUUUGCGGAAAUGGCUUCUCACGAGAACAAGCAACUAUUUGAGGAGUUGCGCUUCUUAUUU